GAUGAACGCUGGCGGCGUGCCUAAUACAUGCAAGUCGAGCGAACAGACGAGGAGCUUGCUCCUCUGACGUUAGCGGCGGACGGGUGAGUAACACGUGGAUAACCUACCUAUAAGACUGGGAUAACUUCGGGAAACCGGAGCUAAUACCGGAUAAUAUAUUGAACCGCAUGGUUCAAUAGUGAAAGACGGUUUUGCUGUCACUUAUAGAUGGAUCCGCGCCGCAUUAGCUAGUUGGUAAGGUAACGGCUUACCAAGGCAACGAUGCGUAGCCGACCUGAGAGGGUGAUCGGCCACACUGGAACUGAGACUCGGUCCAGACUCCUACGGGAGGCAGCAGUAGGGAAUCUUCCGCAAUGGGCGAAAGCCUGACGGAGCAACGGCGCGUGAGUGAUGAAGGUCUUCGGAUCGUAAAACUCUGUUAUUAGGGAAGAACAAAUGUGUAAGUAACUAUGCACGUCUUGACGGUACCUAAUCAGAAAGCCACGGCUAACUACGUG
Molecule: ribosomal RNA, 497 nt
Filed under: uncultured bacterium
Lineage: Bacteria
Description: partial 16S ribosomal RNA
Rfam family: Bacterial small subunit ribosomal RNA
Source: RNAcentral